UGUGAACUUGUUCAGAUCAGAUCAGAUCAGAUCAUGGGAUCCAUGUGACUAAAAGCGCGCACUUGAGUAUGAACUUGUUCUACUUCUCUCUAACAUGUCGCAGUUUCUUAAUAGUAAACCUCAGCUUUGGUGUUUGUAACGCUAGUAAUGGACUCUCCUUGUGUUCAUUCCAGCUACAUUAAUGCUUCUGCUGUCGUUAAUAUAGGAAGCUGAAGGGAAAGUGACAUGUCAAAUUACAAUCAUUCACGAUAGUCUUUCCUCACAGUAUAUACGGCGAUCCUGAUAGACUCCCUAUCGGAGUCGACCCUGUGGAAACCUCCGAUCUAUACCCACUCGCCAGCUUCUCCGGCCUUAUCUCCUCCACCAUUCUCACCACCUCACUCAUCUUCGGCCUCUUCUCCGGCACCCUCCC
This is a long non-coding RNA of Raphanus sativus (radish), 412 nucleotides long. RefSeq lists it as uncharacterized. The record is from RefSeq and is a predicted model, not a curated record. Lineage: Eukaryota; Viridiplantae; Streptophyta; Magnoliopsida; Brassicales; Brassicaceae. The transcript is spliced from 2 exons.